UCCUGGCUAAUGCACCAAAUGUUGGAG
This 27-nucleotide non-coding RNA is filed under the name Mus musculus (house mouse). The record is from RNAcentral. Lineage: Eukaryota; Metazoa; Chordata; Mammalia; Rodentia; Muridae.